UUGGAAGAAGUUUGAUCCUGGCUCAGGACGAACGCUGGCGGCGUGCCUAAUACAUGCAAGUCGAGCGGACAGAUGGGAGCUUGCUCCCUGAUGUUAGCGGCGGACGGGUGAGUAACACGUGGGUAACCUGCCUGUAAGACUGGGAUAACUCCGGGAAACCGGGGCUAAUACCGGAUGGUUGUUUGAACCGCAUGGUUCAGACAUAAAAGGUGGCUUCGGCUACCACUUACAGAUGGACCCGCGGCGCAUUAGCUAGUUGGUGAGGUAACGGCUCACCAAGGCGACGAUGCGUAGCCGACCUGAGAGGGUGAUCGGCCACACUGGGACUGAGACACGGCCCAGACUCCUACGGGAGGCAGCAGUAGGGAAUCUUCCGCAAUGGACGAAAGUCUGACGGAGCAACGCCGCGUGAGUGAUGAAGGUUUUCGGAUCGUAAAGCUCUGUUGUUAGGGAAGAACAAGUGCCGUUCAAAUAGGGCGGCACCUCGACG
RNAcentral lists this ribosomal RNA (490 nucleotides) under Bacillus amyloliquefaciens. Its description in RNAcentral is "bacterial SSU rRNA". It matches the Rfam family "Bacterial small subunit ribosomal RNA", at positions 1 to 474 of the family's 1533-position model. Lineage: Bacteria; Bacillati; Bacillota; Bacilli; Caryophanales; Bacillaceae. The record is from RNAcentral.